GCCCCGCAUAGGAAAGCCCACGGCGCCCCCAGCGCCAACGGCGCGCGGUUCGAAUCCGCGGCGGGGCAC
This 69-nucleotide transfer RNA is filed under the name Streptomyces fulvorobeus. Its description in RNAcentral is "tRNA-Gly". Lineage: Bacteria; Bacillati; Actinomycetota; Actinomycetes; Kitasatosporales; Streptomycetaceae. The record is from RNAcentral.